AUGGUUACUCACAGUUUAAGCUUUGCCGGCACGAACCCCAUGGACUCUUGAUCCCUAUGUGGUAACUUAGGAAACUUGGUGCUUAUAAGAGUAAGUUCUCCUGGGUUUCUAAGAAUAAGGCUUAAAUACCCUUUCUCUAAAGAGCCAAGAAAAGAUGCCACCUUUACUGUCAGUCCAAGGAGACUGGAGAUGUUGCUUACAUGAAACAACUGGUGCAUGAUGGAACGCGCUGUUCUUACAAAGAUCCAUAUAGCAUAUGUGUGCGAGGAGAGUGUGUGAAAGUGGGCUGUGAUAAAGAAAUUGGUUCUAAUAAGGUUGAGGAUAAGUGUGGUGUCUGUGGAGGAGAUAAUUCCCACUGCCGAACCGUGAAGGGGACAUUUACCAGAACUCCCAGGAAGCUUGGGUACCUUAAGAUGUUUGAUAUACCCCCUGGGGCUAGACAUGUGUUAAUCCAAGAAGACGAGGCUUCUCCUCAUAUUCUUGCUAUUAAGAACCAGGCUACAGGCCAUUAUAUUUUAAAUGGCAAAGGGGAGGAAGCCAAGUCGCGGACCUUCAUAGAUCUUGGUGUGGAGUGGGAUUAUAACAUUGAAGAUGACAUUGAAAGUCUUCACACCGAUGGACCUUUACAUGAUCCUGUUAUUGUUUUGAUUAUACCUCAAGAAAAUGAUACCCGCUCUAGCCUGACAUAUAAGUACAUCAUCCAUGAAGACUCUGUACCUACAAUCAACAGCAACAAUGUCAUCCAGGAAGAAUUAGAUACUUUUGAGUGGGCUUUGAAGAGCUGGUCUCAGUGUUCCAAACCCUGUGGUGGAGGUAACAAUUGAACACAUUUAUUAUAUUAAAAUGUAAUGCAUAUAAAAACCAA
Molecule: small RNA, 865 nt
Filed under: Pan troglodytes (chimpanzee)
Lineage: Eukaryota; Metazoa; Chordata; Mammalia; Primates; Hominidae
Description: processed transcript
Source: RNAcentral